Long non-coding RNA from Lactuca sativa (garden lettuce), 1107 nucleotides. RefSeq lists it as uncharacterized. NCBI's taxonomy places the organism in Eukaryota, Viridiplantae, Streptophyta, Magnoliopsida, Asterales, Asteraceae. The record is from RefSeq and is a predicted model, not a curated record.
UGUACUUGGAUCGGAUCGGAUCGGAUUCGAAUUUAGUUUGGACAAUUCGGAUCCAUGUUUUGAAAACCGAAAUCAAUUUGGAUUUACUUGAUUGGAUCGGAUCAAACCGAUCCAUCCAAACGAACACCCCUAUAAAUUAGGGCUUUUUAUGUAUUCGUUCAUUUGAUCGAUCGGGGAGGAAAUAUGAACGAAGCAAAGGCGAUUGGAACGGGAAUGAACGACUGAAAUCAAACGAACGAAGAGAGGGGAAAACGAACAAGAAGGCAGCGGGGCUGCCGUUGGUUUCGGGGGUGCAAUCGCGAAGGGGACGGAAGGAAAAAGGAUACCGAUCGGGUUAAGGGGAAAGAAUUAAACGAAGGCUGCGAAGGCAGAUGAACGGAAGCAGUGAACGAAGGUAGACGAAAUCUCGGAGGCGCGCUUCGUCGGUUGAUUCGCGAAGAGGGAGGAGUCUCCGGGUCGACGAGUCCGAAGGGGAAGAAAGAGGGAGGCAGCGAGGCUGCUGUUCAAGCAGCUUCUCGACUGCUUGCUUCGAUUCCAGCAGCGGUGUGCAAAGGGGAGAUGCGUGGGUGAGGUACGAGAGGCAAAAGAUGUCCGAUGGAAGUCCGGUUGGCAGCCAUACGUCGCUGGUCAGGGCCUCGGUGGUGUUUGCUCGACAAUCCCGAUGUUUCCCCCUUGUUUUGGCAGUCUCGAUCAACCACAGAAAUCGAUGGUUGUUUGGGUUGGGUCGUUUGACAGGGGAUGAAGAAGAACUUGGAGGCUGCUGUUAAUUUAAAUCAAAAGGAAGAAGAAGAAACGAGAUGAAGAAUGAUGAGGCAGUUGUUAUCAUUUUGAAGUCAAUCGUUAUAAUCUUAUAUGGUUUCGUAUGUAUUGUUAUCUACGAAAUCUUUGAGUGUGUCUUGCAUCUCUGAAGUCUUUUUGAUUGUGAAUUUGGGUUGUGAUAGAUAGAGUAUGUGUGUAGGUUAUGUAUAAAAUGAUUUUAUGCACGGAAUCUUGAUUUUAAAUCAAGAUAUGGAAGAUACAGGAAUGAUCCAGGGAAGAUUUUUGGAAUCGUAUAAGUGUACUUCAUUAUUUGAGCUAAUAAAAUAAAUUAUUUUUGGUUGUAUAAUA